This 555-nucleotide ribosomal RNA is filed under the name uncultured bacterium. RNAcentral's name for it is "partial 16S ribosomal RNA". It matches the Rfam family "Bacterial small subunit ribosomal RNA", at positions 355 to 900 of the family's 1533-position model. The record is from RNAcentral.
UAGGGAAUCUUCGGCAAUGGGGGCAACCCUGACCGAGCAACGCCGCGUGAGUGAAGAAGGUUUUCGGAUCGUAAAGCUCUGUUGUAGGUCAAGAACGGGUGUGAGAGUGGAAAGUUCACACUGUGACGGUAGCUUACCAGAAAGGGACGGCUAACUACGUGCCAGCAGCCGCGGUAAUACGUAGGUCCCGAGCGUUGUCCGGAUUUAUUGGGCGUAAAGCGAGCGCAGGCGGUUUGAUAAGUCUGAAGUUAAAGGCUGUGGCUCAACCAUAGUUCGCUUUGGAAACUGUCAAACUUGAGUGCAGAAGGGGAGAGUGGAAUUCCAUGUGUAGCGGUGAAAUGCGUAGAUAUAUGGAGGAACACCGGUGGCGAAAGCGGCUCUCUGGUCUGUAACUGACGCUGAGGCUCGAAAGCGUGGGGAGCGAACAGGAUUAGAUACCCUGGUAGUCCACGCCGUAAACGAUGAGUGCUAGGUGUUGGAUCCUUUCCGGGAUUCAGUGCCGCAGCUAACGCAUUAAGCACUCCGCCUGGGGGAGUACGACCGCAAGGUUGAAAC